GAUCAUGGCUCAGAUUGAACGCUGGCGGAAUGCUUUACACAUGCAAGUCGAACGGCAGCACGGACUUCGGUCUGGUGGCGAGUGGCGAACGGGUGAGUAAUAUAUCGGAACGUGCCCAAUCGUGGGGGAUAACGUAGCGAAAGUUACGCUAAUACCGCAUACGAUCUACGGAUGAAAGCGGGGGAUCGCAAGACCUCGCGCGAUUGGAGCGGCCGAUAUCAGAUUAGGUAGUUGGUGGGGUAAAGGCUCACCAAGCCAACGAUCUGUAGCUGGUCUGAGAGGACGACCAGCCACACUGGAACUGAGACACGGUCCAGACUCCUACGGGAGGCAGCAGUGGGGAAUUUUGGACAAUGGACGCAAGUCUGAUCCAGCCAUUCCGCGUGCAGGAUGAAGGCCCUCGGGUUGUAAACUGCUUUUGUACGGAACGAAAAGGUUUCUAUUAAUACUAGGAGCUCAUGACGGUACCGUAAGAAUAAGCACCGGCUAACUACGUG
This 497-nucleotide ribosomal RNA is filed under the name uncultured bacterium. Its description in RNAcentral is "bacterial SSU rRNA". It matches the Rfam family "Bacterial small subunit ribosomal RNA", at positions 15 to 507 of the family's 1533-position model. The record is from RNAcentral.